AUUGAACGCUGGCGGCAUGCCUUACACAUGCAAGUCGAACGGCAGCACGGGAGCAAUCCUGGUGGCGAGUGGCGAACGGGUGAGUAAUAUAUCGGAACGUGCCCAGUCGUGGGGGAUAACGCAGCGAAAGCUGUGCUAAUACCGCAUACGAUCUAUGGAUGAAAGCGGGGGAUCGCAAGACCUCGCGCGAUUGGAGCGGCCGAUACCAGAUUAGCUAGUUGGUGAGGUAAAGGCUCACCAAGGCGACGAUCUGUAGCUGGUCUGAGAGGACGACCAGCCACACUGGAACGGAGACACGGUCCAGACUCCUACGGGAGGCAGCAGUGGGGAAUUUUGGACAAUGGGCGCAAGCCUGAUCCAGCAAUGCCGCGUGCAGGAUGAAGGCCUUCGGGUUGUAAACUGCUUUUGUACGGAACGAAACGGUCUUUCCUAAUACGAGAGGCUAAUGACGGUACCGUAAGAAUAAGCACCGGCUAACUACGUGCCAGCCGCCGCCGUAA
This 500-nucleotide ribosomal RNA is filed under the name uncultured bacterium. Its description in RNAcentral is "partial 16S ribosomal RNA". It matches the Rfam family "Bacterial small subunit ribosomal RNA", at positions 30 to 523 of the family's 1533-position model. The record is from RNAcentral.